UAUUUAAUGCUAAUUAAGAGGCCGGUAACGAUUUUAGAGCAGAAAUGUAAAAUUGAUAGAUUUAGUCGUUGAAAUUGUACACCUUUUGUUACGUAAUAUCUAAAUAACAAGUAUUGGUUUCUAUUAGGACAUCUUCUCAUCUUGCUUUUUAAUAAUGAGGUCGCGAGCGUGCGUCACCGGUAAUAUACCGGAAGGGGCAGUUUUUAAAAAUUCAUCAAAAAAUUAUGGUGGUAAAUUAUACAAAAUGAUGUCUAAGAACAGUUUCAGGAAAUCUUGUAGAUUGUUUAAGUAUCAAAAUUACGUUGAAAUUAAGUCGAUUUUCAGAGACAUUGUCACUUGUUUUGAAGUAAUUUCUGGAGAAAAUUGAUUUCGUCUAACUUUCAUUUACACUA
This is a long non-coding RNA of Cydia splendana, 392 nucleotides long. RefSeq lists it as uncharacterized. The transcript has 2 exons. Lineage: Eukaryota; Metazoa; Arthropoda; Insecta; Lepidoptera; Tortricidae. The record is from RefSeq and is a predicted model, not a curated record.